AGGAUGACGGUCCUAUGGAUUGUAAACUGCUUUUGUACAGGAAGAAACCCUCCUACGUGUAGGAGCUUGACGGUACUGUAAGAAUAAGGAUCGGCUAACUCCGNGCCAGCNGCCGGGGANAUACNGGNAGGAUCCAAGCGUUAUCCGGAAUCAUUGGGUUUAAAGGGUCCGUAGGCGGUUUAGUAAGUCAGUGGUGAAAGCCCAUCGCUCAACGGGGACGCCGNNUUUGAUACUGGCUAGACUUGAAUUAUUAGGAAGUAACUAGAAUAUGUAGUGUAGCGGNGNAAUGCUUUAGAGAUUACAUGGAAUACCAAUUGCGAAGGCAGGUUACUACUAAUGGAUUGACGCUGAUGGACGAAAGCGUGGGUAGCGAACAGGAUUAGAUACCCUGGUAGUCCCANGGGCGAAUUC
Molecule: ribosomal RNA, 411 nt
Filed under: uncultured bacterium
Lineage: Bacteria
Description: partial 16S ribosomal RNA
Rfam family: Bacterial small subunit ribosomal RNA
Source: RNAcentral